RNAcentral lists this ribosomal RNA (406 nucleotides) under uncultured bacterium. RNAcentral describes it as "partial 16S ribosomal RNA". It matches the Rfam family "Bacterial small subunit ribosomal RNA", at positions 30 to 526 of the family's 1533-position model. The record is from RNAcentral.
AUUGAACGCUGGCGGCAGGCCUAACACAUGCAAGUCGAGCGAGCGGCGGACGGGUGAGUAAUGUCUGGGAAACUGCCUGAUGGAGGUGGAUAACUACUGGAAACGGUAGCUAAUACCGCAUACCAUCAGAUGUGCCCAGGGGGGAUUAGCUAGUUGGUUGGGUAACGGCUCACCUAGGCGACGAUCCCUAGCUGGUCUGAGAGGAGAACCAGCCACACUGGAACUGAGACACGGUCAAGACGCCUACGGGAGGCAGCAGUGGGGAAUAUUGGACAAUGGGCGCAAGCAUGAUGCAGCCAUGCCGCGUGUGUGAAGAAGGCCUUCGGAUUGUAAAGCACUUUAAGCGGGGAGGCGUUAACAGCAGAAGAAGCAACGGCUAACUCCGUGCCAGCAGCCGCGGUAAUAC